Long non-coding RNA from Homo sapiens (human), 2418 nucleotides. RefSeq annotates it as OBI1 antisense RNA 1. NCBI's taxonomy places the organism in Eukaryota, Metazoa, Chordata, Mammalia, Primates, Hominidae. The transcript has 6 exons. The record is from RefSeq and is marked validated.
AUAGUUACUUGGGACAACAGUUUUAGCAGGGCUCUCUUUCUCCUUUCCUGAUCUCUCUGUUAAGCUGCCUGGCUCAUUUGAUAUCACAUCCAAAUUAUCAGCUGAUUGCUCUAUUGUUUUGGACAAUGCCCUGAAGCAUACCAAAAUGUGUCUGGAAUUGGUGGGUUCUUGGUCUUACUGACUUUAAGAAUGAAGUUGCGGACUUUUGCGGUGAUCCACCCUACCACAUAUUGUCUCCUAAUGGCCGUCCAGUUUAUCCUGGAGCCCUUGCAUGACACAGGCCUAUCGAAGCAUAGGAGAUGCCAAUAUUUUACCUCUUGGGUACUUUCUGUGUAGAAGAUUCAUAACAAGAACAAUACUUAUUCUGCAAUUCUUUAUAUAAAGCUCCAGAGGGAAGUGAGAAGGAUGUUCACUUGCUGGUGAGAGAAGGAGCUGGUUCCAUCCAUUACGCAGUCCCCUGGGAGCGCUAAAUGCAACUUUAUCUCAACGGGGAGUGGACGAUGAGCAGGACGUCGCUAGAGGGAAAGAGCCUCACUUCCCGUUUCCUUUGGCAGCGCCCUUUUCCCGACCUAAGGGAGCAGACCUUCGUUGGUUGGCGUGAGGACUGGCGGGAGAGGUUUUGUGCCAGGAUCCGCACUGUCUGGGGUGAACGCUCCUCACCUUUGACCUGAACCGCCAACUUCCCAUCCUCCACUUUUGGAGAGCGCGCCUGAUAGCUGCUGCCCACCUGGGCACUGACAUCCUCCUUCCGACCGGGUGCGGAGAAAGCACAAAGGAAGUAGACCAAGGAGACUGAAGGUGGUUAUGAAGACUGUGCAUCUCUGAGGACAUCUUAAACAAAGAUGACCCAAAUCUUUGAUCUUCAAAUAGUCGAUGUGAACUGCUUAACAAAAUGCCCUGGGAAAACUCUGUCUGAAACAAGCAGCUUGGGGGUUUGAUUUCAUUAGUUACUGGACAAGAACUGGAAUGGAGUGAAAAAUCUUCAUUCAUUUCUUGGUCAGAUGGAGAGAGGAGAAAAAAAGAAGUGGGUUUCCAUUCACUUCCAUUUUCUAACUGAUCAUUAGUUAGAGAACCUUUGGAAAGGUUUAGCUCAGUUUUUUCUUCCAACUUAUCAGGUUCCUCAAGAAAUUCACUGCCUUGAGAUGACUUUGAUAACCCAUCCAAAUCCAGUGACUUAAAACCGUUAUUACAAGGGCUCUUGCUGUUGUCUGACUCUGACAUCAUUGAAUCCAACUCAGAGAUUUUGUCAAGGUAAGCAGCAUCCAUCGAUGCUUCACUGGAUGUUCUUGUCCGGUUCAUUUCAAAAGAGCGAAUAGAAUUCAACCUUUUGGAUAAACAUAAGCCUGAUUUCUCACUCAAUUUUGAAGAUAUUUCUCCAACAGAAUUUGCUAUCGUGUUCCCCUCUGAACUUUCAAAAUCUAAGUUUUGGGCAUAGCUUGUGGAACAACAGUCCCAAAAUCCUGUCUUUGGGGAAGAAAAACAUUCUGAUUUCUUUUCAUUUUCACUUCUACUUAUAUCAUCUUCUGAAGAAUCUUUAUUAGAAACAUUUGAAGAAUCACAAAAAUCAUCAAACACCAAUUUUCUGAGAUGGUUUGAGUGCUUUUUGGAACCUCCUGCUUGGACCACAGAGCUCUCUCUAUUUUCUGGAGUACUGAGCUGAAGGCAACUAAGGGACAAAGGAGUACAAGGAGCUGGAAGAUCAUAAAGUUCUUCAUCUUUGUAGGGUACACAGUCACUUGGUUUAUUCCCCCAUUCUCUUUCCAAAUAAGUAUCCAUACUUGUAUCUGUCACAUCUAACAUUACUUCUACCUGUUCUUGAUAUAGGUCUUUGUUCUUAGAACAGUUAAGGUCUGCUUUGCUGGUACUUUCCUGCCUUGCAGAACUGGUGUCACACAGUCUGCUGCUGGAAGGCUUCGCUAGGUGAGAAGAACUGGAGGUGGAUGAGCCAGGCUGCUUUCUGGCACUAUCGCCUUGAUUCUUUGACACCACAUCCUCCUCACUGCCUUUGCUCCCUUUGCCAUCUGCAGAAAGUGCUGUCUGGCAAAUGGAAUUCAUAGCUUCUUUCUCUUCACUUGAAUUUUUUAGCUGUGCAACUUGAGAUUCUAGUUCCUCUAUAUACUUAUCACUUCGUUCCAGGGCUUUCUUGAGGCGAUUGGUUUCACGCUCAUACUGUUCUACUUUGGACUGAAGAGCAGCAACUGCAAACCUUCCAAACCUACAAAGAAUGGAAAGAUAGUUAAUCUUAUAACUCAAGCUUUUUUCUUUUCAAGGUUUGAGAGUGCAAACUGUCCCAGGCUAUUCUAAUUUCACCUAACAGUGACAUUUCAGACCACUCAAUGAGUAGGGCAAAUGCCAGAUGUAUAUUUUCAAAAAAUGGUUUCCCCACUUACAUAAUAAUAAACAUAUGAUAAUAAUAGC